GACGAACCGUACGAACGUUAUUCGGAAUCACUGGGCUUAAAGGGUGCGUAGGCGGCUUGAUAAGUUGGGUGUGAAAUACCUCGGCUCAACCGAGGAAUUGCGCCCAAAACUGUUGAGCUGGAGGGAGACAGAGGUGAGCGGAACUUAGGGUGGAGCGGUGAAAUGCGUUGAUAUCCUAAGGAACACCAGGGGCGAAAGCGGCUCACUGGGUCUUUUCUGACGCUGAGGCACGAAAGCUAGGGUAGCGAACGGG
Molecule: ribosomal RNA, 253 nt
Filed under: uncultured bacterium
Lineage: Bacteria
Description: partial 16S ribosomal RNA
Rfam family: Bacterial small subunit ribosomal RNA
Source: RNAcentral